AUGACCAAUGCUAGAGCAUUGUUUCUAGCCUCCAUACUCACUAUUCUUCCUCGGUAAAACUUUCACUGUAUAGUCAUUAGUUGUUAGUUUUUAGUCUAGAAUUCCCCAGGUUUUGAACACUUGGUCUCUAACCGGUGGCACUAUUUUGAAAGCCAUGUCACCAGGUUGGCAGAAUAGGUCACUAGAGGUAAGCCUUCAAAAUCUAUACUUACUCAUUUCCAGCCUAUCUCUGAUUUCUGGUCCUGUGAAGAGUCUCUGUCACAUGCAUGGAUUUCCCUAUGCAUUUCCCUCCACAACGGACUGAAGUCUCUGAAAUUGCUAUAAAUCAUACAUCAUUGUGGGGAAGUCAACGCAGGAACCUGAAGCAUCUACUUAUACCCAGGCUGCUUGUUGGAGACGACUGCCCACAUCUGGAUACAGUUUGCCAUUUUGUGAUGGUGGCGGGACUAUUGGUAGCAAAACUGGAAAAUAAACAUCCCCUGGAUGCACAUUUGGGAAGCAAAAGUGACAGGCCAACUGACCUUGGUGAUGGGUUGGAAGCAUGAGUGAUUACCUUGAGGUUGUUAAGAUGGCAUAGGGAAGAAUUUUAAAGACGGGGACCUCAGACACCUAGUUUCAGCUAUUCUUUACCAGGAAGCACACAAAUGUCAUAUUCACAACCUGCUUGUCUACAGUUUUGUUCCAGAGAAUAAUUAUUUCCUAUGUGAGUAAAAAGAAAUGGGCUCAUAUUCCUCUCAGCAGAGUCCACAGCAGCAUGCAACAAAGGUCUUUUAAAAAACAAACCAGCCCCCAAAGCCACAGAGAAACCCUGUCUCGAAAAACAAAAGAAACCAACAUUUUUUUCAUCAGAGUGACGCAUGCACAUGGGUAAAACUCCUCCCCUGGAUGGAAGAGAGAACAAGACAUUUUCUCUUUGAGCACCCCUCCUCCAUGCCAGACCUCAUCUCCAGAGGCUGCCAAUCUUUCACUCACUCCAUCGACAUCUUCUUGCCUCCAUGGUUAUCACACUCCUAUGCACAUACCCACACUCAUACCUGCACUUGUAAUUAUAAAUCUAAAACGUGCAAAUAUAAGCAAUGUGACUAUUCUGCCACUUUUUUCAUAUUUGUGGAUCACACUUUCUGUUUCUGCAAAAACAGGCCGUUGUCUGUUAGAGUAAUUGCACCGAAUCUGCAUAUUUCUUUGGGGGGGGAGUACUUCUAUUUUAACAAUAUGAAACCUCCCAAGAAACAAACAAGGGAUGUCUUUAGUGUAUCUGAGUCUCUUUCAAAAAAAUGGUUUAAGUUAAGUGAACAAGUCUUUCAUUGGUUAAAUAUACUCAUUGAUUUUUUAAUUCUUUCAAUAAACCUAAUUGUUCUCUUAUCUAUUUCAUUGUUGACAUAUGGAGACAAAACUAGCCCAGUGUGCUUUGUGUGUGGGUGUGUGUUUGUGUGGAGUCCUUCACAUUCUAUGUAUAUAUAAUUAUGUCAUUUAUGAAUACAGAUAACUUUGCUUCUUCA
Molecule: long non-coding RNA, 1499 nt
Organism: Mesocricetus auratus (golden hamster)
Lineage: Eukaryota; Metazoa; Chordata; Mammalia; Rodentia; Cricetidae
Exons: 2
Source: RefSeq, a predicted model, not a curated record